GGAAGUGUCUACACAAAAAGGCUCCAUCAGCAGAUUCGGCAGCAACAGCAGCAGCAGCCGCUACUGCCACCGCCUCCACCACCACUCAUGACUGUUACACCUCCUGCUGCUCUGGUGACUACUGCUGAACCUUCUACAUCUUCCUCUCUGUCAACCAGCAGUUCGUUGGAAGAGAAGGGCCAUCAGGCUCCUGUGCGAAGACAACCAGCAUUAGCAAGUCAUCUGGGCCCCCAAGGACAAUCAAUACCCGCCACUGGUCAUCCAGCGAGAGUCAGUACACUUUGCUCAGCAGGUGGCAGACCAGGCUGGGAACUCCUCUAGGAAGAACGGGACAACGAAAGGCAGAUGGUUGCCUUCUGGACACCGGAAAGAUCUUGGAUGCUAG
Long non-coding RNA from Aquila chrysaetos chrysaetos, 385 nucleotides. RefSeq lists it as uncharacterized. Lineage: Eukaryota; Metazoa; Chordata; Aves; Accipitriformes; Accipitridae. The record is from RefSeq and is a predicted model, not a curated record. The transcript has 4 exons.